RNAcentral lists this long non-coding RNA (520 nucleotides) under Nicotiana benthamiana. RNAcentral describes it as "long non-coding RNA (NBEN_LNC021757)". Lineage: Eukaryota; Viridiplantae; Streptophyta; Magnoliopsida; Solanales; Solanaceae. The record is from RNAcentral.
ACUGUGUCCACAUUUGUGUGCAUUCUCAUUUGCACAUUGAUGGCUUUCCUCUCCUAUAAAUACUCGUGAGUAGCAAGCAAAGAAGACAUCCACCACAAGAAGCUAAACACAAGAAAAGAGUGAGAGCUUAAAAAACGAGAGUUUUUUUUUAUAUAAACCAAGAAGGUUUAUAAGAAACUGUGAGGGUUUCAAAAAUAGAGAGAAAAUUUUGUGGGUACUUUCGAGAGAAAGUGAGUAAAAAAAAAUGCUGAGAGAGUAUUUUUUACUUGUAUUUUCUCUAAAACAAUUACUAGUGAAAUUCGCAGCACUGCCUCUGCGCGGGGACGUAGCCUAGUUGGGUGAACCUCGAUAACAAAUUUCUGGCGUAUUUUUUCUUUUUAUUUUGUUUACUGCAAUACUAUCGUUGUAGUGUGGGUAAUUUUUUAUCAACAAUUGGUAUCAGAGCCAGGUUGUCUGACGAUUGUAUUUUUUGAGGAGUAUCGUAACGGAGGCACUGUAGCAGAAGUUCGGUAGCUGGUUA